CAGUAGCCGCGGUAAUACGAAGGGGGCUAGCGUUGCUCGGAAUGACUGGGCGUAAAGGGCGCGUAGGCGGUUUUGACAGUCAGAUGUGAAAUUCCUGGGCUUAACCUGGGGGCUGCAUUUGAGACGUCAAGACUAGAGUGUGAGAGAGGGUUGUGGAAUUCCCAGUGUAGAGGUGAAAUUCGUAGAUAUUGGGAAGAACACCGGUGGCGAAGGCGGCAACCUGGCUCAUUACUGACGCUGAGGCGCGAAAGCGUGGGGAGCAAACAGGAUUAGAUACCCCCGUAGUCCCUGUCUCUUAUAU
This 301-nucleotide ribosomal RNA is filed under the name uncultured bacterium. RNAcentral describes it as "partial 16S ribosomal RNA". It matches the Rfam family "Bacterial small subunit ribosomal RNA", at positions 509 to 809 of the family's 1533-position model. The record is from RNAcentral.